Molecule: ribosomal RNA, 497 nt
Filed under: uncultured bacterium
Lineage: Bacteria
Description: partial 16S ribosomal RNA
Rfam family: Bacterial small subunit ribosomal RNA
Source: RNAcentral
GACGAACGCUGGCGGCGUGCCUAAUACAUGCAAGUUGAGCGAUGAAGAUUGGUGCUUGCACCCAUUUGAAGAGCAGCGAACGGGUGAGUAACGCGUGGGGAAUCUGCCUUUGAGCGGGGGACAACAUUUGGAAACGAAUGCUAAUACCGCAUAACAACUUUAAACAUAAGUUUUAAGUUUGAAAGAUGCAAUUGCAUCACUCAAAGAUGAUCCCGCGUUGUAUUAGCUAGUUGGUGAGGUAAAGGCUCACCAAGGCGAUGAUACAUAGCCGACCUGAGAGGGUGAUCGGCCACAUUGGGACUGGGACACGGCCCAAACUCCUACGGGAGGCAGCAGUAGGGAAUCUUCGGCAAUGGACGAAAGUCUGACCGAGCAACGCCGCGUGAGUGAAGAAGGUUUUCGGAUCGUAAAACUCUGUUGGUAGAGAAGAACGUUGGUGAGAGUGGAAAGCUCAUCAAGUGACGGUAACUACCCAGAAAGGGACGGCUAACUACGUG